This 223-nucleotide ribosomal RNA is filed under the name Ditylum brightwellii. RNAcentral describes it as "partial Bacterial large subunit ribosomal RNA". It matches the Rfam family "Bacterial large subunit ribosomal RNA", at positions 1938 to 2160 of the family's 2925-position model. The record is from RNAcentral. Lineage: Eukaryota; Bacillariophyta; Thalassiosirophyceae; Lithodesmiales; Lithodesmiaceae.
AACAAUGACAGUCCUAAGGUAGCGAAAUUCAUUGUCGAGUAAGUUUCGACCUGCACGAAAGGCAUAACGAUCUGGGCGCUGUCUCGGAGAGAGACUCGGUGAAAUAGACUUGUCCGUGAAGAUGCGGACUACUUGCAUUUGGACAGAAAGACCCUAUGAAGCUUCACUGCAGGCUGGCAUUGGGUUCGGGCUUUUCUUGCGCAGUCUAGGUGGGAGGCUUUGA